This 148-nucleotide non-coding RNA is filed under the name Homo sapiens (human). The record is from Rfam by way of RNAcentral. Lineage: Eukaryota; Metazoa; Chordata; Mammalia; Primates; Hominidae.
GCCGGGCGUGGUGGUGUGCGCCUGUAAUCCCAGCUACUCGGGAGGCUGAGGCAGGAGAAUCGCUUGAACCCGGGAGGCAGAGCUUGCAGUGAGCCAAGAUCGCGCCACCGCACUCCAGCCUGGGCAACAGAGCGAGACUCUGUCUCAA